UACGUAGGGUGCAAGCGUUUGUCCGGAAUUAUUGGGCGUAAAGAGCUCGUAGGCGGUCUGUCGCGUCGGCUGUGAAAUCCCGGAGCUCAACUCCGGGUCUGCAGUCGAUACGGGCAAACUGGAGUACUGCAGGGGAGACUGGAAUUCCUGGUGUAGCGGUGAAAUGCGCAGAUAUCAGGAGGAACACCGGUGGCGAAGGCGGGUCUCUGGGCAGUAACUGACGCUGGAGGAGCGAAAGCGUGGGGAGCGAACAGG
Molecule: ribosomal RNA, 255 nt
Filed under: uncultured bacterium
Lineage: Bacteria
Description: partial 16S ribosomal RNA
Rfam family: Bacterial small subunit ribosomal RNA
Source: RNAcentral